RNAcentral lists this long non-coding RNA (1121 nucleotides) under Falco tinnunculus (common kestrel). RNAcentral's name for it is "lncRNA (ENSFTIG00000013234.1)". The record is from RNAcentral. Lineage: Eukaryota; Metazoa; Chordata; Aves; Falconiformes; Falconidae.
GGGCUCUGCCGGGGGGCUGCGGCGGGGACGCCGCCUUCAGGAUCCCGCUCACCCAGCAGAGCAGCUCCUCCCGUGGGCAACAAGUGCAGGGGACGGCCAGAGAAGGGGGGCGCGGGCGCGGGGGGCAGGCUCGCCUGGGAAAUCAGAGAGAAUGGACCGGGCUGUUAAAGCGUGAGGUCUGCAAAGAAAAGUGGGAGCAGGAGGGAAAUACCGGGAAGGACCAGAUGGGCAGGGCAAAACUUGGAAGUGGACUUCGCUCAUUGUACAAUACCUAGAUCCUGCAUGGAUCACCACCCUGCCUAACACCCAUAGGUCUUCAAAGCCUCACGCAGUGCUCUCUAGUUUAGAAGCACAGCAGAUUGCUGUCCUUUGCACAUCUGGGCUCAAAGAACCUCACACUAAUGAGAUACACAGCUCAUUUCAUUCCUAACAGGUGAGUGAAGUCAAUUUGCCUACGGCGUUUAGAGUUGAGCUAAAUAUGUUUGCAAAUAUUUUCAGGCUUCCAAUGUCUGGUCUGUCUAGCUAAGCUUGUCAUUGUAGAAAGACAGUGGUAUAUAAAUUCACAUGUAUUCAAAGCACAACCUUAUACCUUCACCUGGGACCUUUUGAGUAUCAUAUGUUAAAUGCUACCUAGGGAACCUGCAUUUGUCGUGUCUGCUGUGAAAUGCACAGGGUGGGUGAAUUUUAUCUCCAUGUCAUUGAGUUUUUAUUAGCUUACCAGUGAGUACAGAGGCCCUGAGAGCAUGCAAUCCAUCACAAAGAUCGCAGACCAGUAGUCAGAAGCAGCAAUCAAAGUGGGUACACUUUGAGGAGCUGGAAUGGUUAAAGCAGAGAGGUUAAAGUAUCAAUAUGAACCUGACUUUCCUUCAGAGAGUUUCCACUACUUGGGCAUUGGCAGCUUGAAUCUGUUCUUCCCAAGAAGGGUGAAUCAAAUGUAAAUUCUGGGAAAUAAUAACAAAGACAAAUAAACCCAGACUUCCAAAUCUACUCCAUUAUUGGCUAGAUGACUGCACUAAGCCAUAAAUCCAAGACCUUUCAACCUAAACAUUCCUCAUUUCUUUUCACGUUUUUGACUUGACAUGGAUUUUGGUAAGUGUGUGGGUCACCAGGCAUUACAUAGA